ACGUAGGGGGCGAGCGUUAACCGGAAUUACUGGGCGUAAAGAGUGCGCAGGCGGUUUUGUAAGAGUGGGGUGAAAGGCAAGAGCUUAACUAGGGUAAUCCUUGCGGACGGGAAGACUUGAGUGCAGGAGAGGAAAGUGGAAUUCCUAGUGUAGCGGUGAAAUGCGUAGAUAUGAGGAGGAACACCAGUGGCGAAGGCGGCCUCCUGGACUGAUACUGACGCUCAUGCACGAAAGCGUGGGUAGCAAACAG
Molecule: ribosomal RNA, 250 nt
Filed under: uncultured prokaryote
Description: partial 16S rRNA
Rfam family: Bacterial small subunit ribosomal RNA
Source: RNAcentral